AGUGUAGGUGGCUCAUUAAGUCACAUGUGAAAUCCCCGGGCUUAACCUGGGAACUGCAUGUGAUACUGGUGGUGCUAGAAUAUGUGAGAGGGAAGUAGAAUUCCAGGUGUAGCGGUGAAAUGCGUAGAGAUCUGGAGGAAUACCGAUGGCGAAGGCAGCUUCCUGGCAUAAUAUUGACACUGAGAUUCGAAAGCGUGGUAGCAAACA
This 207-nucleotide ribosomal RNA is filed under the name uncultured bacterium. RNAcentral describes it as "partial 16S ribosomal RNA". It matches the Rfam family "Bacterial small subunit ribosomal RNA", at positions 568 to 774 of the family's 1533-position model. The record is from RNAcentral.